This 585-nucleotide ribosomal RNA is filed under the name uncultured Glomus. RNAcentral's name for it is "SSU rRNA". It matches the Rfam family "Eukaryotic small subunit ribosomal RNA", at positions 624 to 1213 of the family's 1831-position model. The record is from RNAcentral. Lineage: Eukaryota; Fungi; Glomeromycota; Glomeromycetes; Glomerales; Glomeraceae.
AAGCUCGUAGUUGAAUUUCGGGAUUAUUGCGCCGGUCGUGCCUUCGGUAUGUACUGGUGUUACUGAUUCCUACCUUCUGACGAACCGUCAUGUCAUUAAUUUGGUGUGGCGGGGAAUCAGGACUGUUACUUUGAAAAAAUUAGAGUGUUUAAAGCAGGCUCGCGCUUGAAUACAUUAGCAUGGAAUAAUGAAAUAGGACGUUCGAUCCUAUUUUGUUGGUUUCUAGGAUUGACGUAAUGAUUAAUAGGGAUAGUUGGGGGCAUUAGUAUUCAAUUGUCAGAGGUGAAAUUCUUGGAUUUAUUGAAGACUAACUACUGCGAAAGCAUUUGCCAAGGAUGUUUUCAUUAAUCAAGAACGAAAGUUAGGGGAUCGAAGACGAUCAGAUACCGUCGUAGUCUUAACCAUAAACUAUGCCGACUAGGAAUCGGGCGAUGUUGAAAAAAUGACGCGCUCGGCACCUCAUGGGAAACCAAAGUGUUUGGGUUCCGGGGGGAGUAUGGUCGCAAGGCUGAAACUUAAAGGAAUUGACGGAAGGGCACCACCAGGGGUGGAGCCUGCGGCUUAAUUUGACUCAACACGGGAAAA